GUAGGAUCCGAGCGUUGUCCGGAUUUACUGGGUGUAAAGGGUGCGCAGGCGGACUGGUAAGUCAGAGGUGAAAUCUCGUCGCUUAACGACGAAACUGCCUUUGAUACUAUCAGUCUUGAAUCCGGUAGAGAUCUGUGGAAUUCCGAGUGUAGCAGUGAAAUGUGUAGAUAUUCGGAAGAACACCAGUGGCGAAGGCAGCAGAUUGGGCCGGUAUUGACGCUCAGGCACGAAAGCAUGGGGAUCAAACAGGAUUAGAGACCCUGGUAGUCCAUGCCCUAAACGAUGUUCACUUGAUGUCUGCCCUCAGGGUAGGUGUCGAAGCUAACGCGAUAAGUGAACCACCUGGGGAGUACGCUCGCAAGGGUG
RNAcentral lists this ribosomal RNA (366 nucleotides) under uncultured bacterium. RNAcentral's name for it is "bacterial SSU rRNA". It matches the Rfam family "Bacterial small subunit ribosomal RNA", at positions 527 to 896 of the family's 1533-position model. The record is from RNAcentral.